AACACACCUAACGAAUGUUAUUUAGCAAUGUAAACUACCAGUGCCUAUAAGGAAAAAAUAGGUUACUUAUAUGUGUGUAAAGAGAGGCGAGGGAUACUCUAGGGACAAAGAAUACAAAAUUAAAAAAAUAAACUGACAAAGCCAUGACUAAAAAAGAAAAAUAAUAACAAACAAACAAUAGUACCACCACACAACAACGAGAACUAAAUACUGAGCAUCACGAUCCC
This 227-nucleotide long non-coding RNA is filed under the name Mytilus galloprovincialis (Mediterranean mussel). The record is from RNAcentral. Lineage: Eukaryota; Metazoa; Mollusca; Bivalvia; Mytilida; Mytilidae.